RNAcentral lists this ribosomal RNA (440 nucleotides) under uncultured bacterium. RNAcentral describes it as "partial 16S ribosomal RNA". It matches the Rfam family "Bacterial small subunit ribosomal RNA", at positions 338 to 795 of the family's 1533-position model. The record is from RNAcentral.
CCUACGGGUGACAGCAGUAGGGAAUAUUGCUCAAUGGGGGACACCCUGAAGCAGCAACGCCGCGUGGAGGAUGAAGGUUUUCUGAUUGUAAACUCCUUUUGUUAGAGAAGAUAAUGACGGUAUCUACCGAAUACGCCCCGGCUAACUCCGUGCCAGCAGCCGCGGUACUCCGGGGGGUGCAAGCGUUACUCGGAAUCACUGGGCGUAAAGAGCGCGUAGGCGGGAUAGCAAGUCAGAUGUGAAAUCCUAUGGCUUAACCAUAGAACUGCAUUUGAAACUGUUAUUCUAGAGUAUGGUAGAGGUAGGUGGAAUUCUUGGUGUAGGGGUAAAAUCCGUAGAGAUCAAGAGGAAUACUCAUUGCGAAGGCGACCUGCUAGAACAUAACUGACGCUGAUGCGCGAAAGCGUGGGGAGCAAACAGGAUUAGAUACCCGGGUAGUC